RNAcentral lists this ribosomal RNA (479 nucleotides) under uncultured bacterium. RNAcentral describes it as "bacterial SSU rRNA". It matches the Rfam family "Bacterial small subunit ribosomal RNA", at positions 28 to 525 of the family's 1533-position model. The record is from RNAcentral.
GAUGAACGCUAGCGGCAGGCUUAACACAUGCAAGUCGAGGGGCAGCACGAGUAGCAAUACUUGGUGGCGACCGGCGCAAGGGUGCGUAACGCGUGAGCAACAUGCCCGUAUCAGGGGGAUAAUCCAGGGAAACUUGGUCUAAUACCCCAUAGUAAUCAUAUCAGGCAUCUGGUAUGAUUUAAAGCUUAGGUGGAUACGGAUUGGCUCGCGUGACAUUAGCUAGAUGGUAAGGUAACGGCUUACCAUGGCUAUGAUGUCUAGGGGUUCUGAGAGGAAGGUCCCCCACACUGGAACUGAGACACGGUCCAGACUCCUACGGGAGGCAGCAGUGGGGAAUAUUGCACAAUGGGCGAAAGCCUGAUGCAGCAACGCCGCGUGAGCGAUGAAGGCCUUGGGUCGUAAGCUCUGUCCUAUGGAAGAUAAUGACGGUACCAUAGGAGGAAGCCCCGGCUAACUACGUGCCAGCAGCCGCGGUAACG